UGCCCGUGACGUCGCGAGAAGUCCACUGAACCUUAUCAUUUAGAGGAAGGAGAAGUCGUAACAAGGUUUCCGUAGGUGAACCUGCGGAAGGAUCAUUGUCGAAACCUUUACCCCGCCAGAGUGACCCGCGAACACGUUACAACACUCGGGGGCGAGGGGUGCUAACACCUCCCCGGACCCUCUUUGCCGGGUGCGUGUGGCCUCGCCCCGUGCCGUCGGCACCAAACGAACCCCGGCGCGGAAUGCGUCAAGGAAACACAACGGGACGAGCAUCGCACCCGAGGGCCCCGAGAUACGGUGCUUGCCCCGGUCGAUGCUCCGCUAUCAGUUGGAGUCUAAAAACGACUCUCGGCAACGGAUAUCUCGGCUCUCGCAUCGAUGAAGAACGUAGCGAAAUGCGAUACUUGGUGUGAAUUGCAGAAUCCCGUGAACCAUCGAGUCUUUGAACGCAAGUUGCGCCCGAAGCCAUCAGGUUGAGGGCACGUCUGCCUGGGCGUCAAACACCGUUGCCCCCCUCUAACCCCGACCCAUUUGCAGCCGUGUGCGAGUGGGCCCCCAGGGGGGCGGAUGAUGACCUCCCGUUAGCUCUUUGCUCGGCGGUUGGUCCAAAAUCGAGUCCUCGGUCACUUCGUCGUGGCAACAGGUUGUCGAUCAUUCGGUGCCCCGUCACGUGCGUCGGACACGCAUCGAGACUCAGAUAGGCCCCAACGCGCCAGUCGGUGGUGCUCCCAACGCGACCCCAGGUCAGGCGGGGCUACCCGCUGAGUUUAAGCAUAUC
Molecule: ribosomal RNA, 778 nt
Filed under: Helicostylis tomentosa
Lineage: Eukaryota; Viridiplantae; Streptophyta; Magnoliopsida; Rosales; Moraceae
Description: eukaryotic LSU rRNA
Rfam family: 5.8S ribosomal RNA (bases 344-499)
Source: RNAcentral